This 253-nucleotide ribosomal RNA is filed under the name uncultured prokaryote. RNAcentral describes it as "partial 16S ribosomal RNA". It matches the Rfam family "Bacterial small subunit ribosomal RNA", at positions 525 to 777 of the family's 1533-position model. The record is from RNAcentral.
ACGUAGGUGGCAAGCGUUGUCCGGAUUUAUUGGGUUUAAAGGGUGCGUAGGCGGCCCCAUAAGUCAGUGCUGAAAUAUCCCGGCUUAACCGGGAGGGUGGCAUUGAUACUGUGGGGCUUGAGUAAAGUUGAGGUUGGCGGAAUUGACGGUGUAGCGGUGAAAUGCUUAGAUAUCGUCAAGAACACCGAUAGUGUAGACAGCUAACUAAGCUUUAACUGACGCUGAGGCACGAAAGUGUGGGGAUCAAACAGGA